Molecule: ribosomal RNA, 437 nt
Filed under: uncultured bacterium
Lineage: Bacteria
Description: bacterial SSU rRNA
Rfam family: Bacterial small subunit ribosomal RNA
Source: RNAcentral
AGGAGGCAGCAGUGGGGAAUAUUGGACAAUGGGGGCAACCCUGAUCCAGCCAUGCCGCGUGAGUGAUGAAGGCCUUCGGGUUGUAAAGCUCUUUUGGCGGGGACGAUGAUGACGGUACCCGCAGAAUAAGCCCCGGCUAACUUCGUGCCAGCAGCCGCGGUAAGACGAAGGGGGCUAGCGUUGUUCGGAAUUACUGGGCGUAAAGGGCGCGUAGGCGGUCUUGUUAGUCAGGCGUGAAAGCCCUGGGCUCAACCUGGGAUGUGCGCUUGAUACUGCGAGGCUUGAGUGCAGGAGAGGAUGGUGGAAUUCCCAGUGUAGAGGUGAAAUUCGUAGAUAUUGGGAAGAACACCGGUGGCGAAGGCGGCCAUCUGGACUGCAACUGACGCUGAGGCGCGAAAGCGUGGGGAGCAAACAGGAUUAGAUACCCCCGUAGUCCC